This 106-nucleotide non-coding RNA is filed under the name Phaeobacter inhibens. RNAcentral describes it as "Glycine sequence". It matches the Rfam family "Glycine riboswitch aptamer". From Rfam's summary of the family: This family represents the bacterial glycine riboswitch. Glycine riboswitches usually consist of two metabolite-binding aptamers domains with similar structures in tandem. The aptamers cooperatively bind glycine to regulate the expression of downstream genes. The record is from RNAcentral. Lineage: Bacteria; Pseudomonadati; Pseudomonadota; Alphaproteobacteria; Rhodobacterales; Roseobacteraceae.
CAGGCGUAUGCGGGAGAACCAGCGCGGCGGUAAUUCAUCGUCGACUUUGGUGCCGAAGGAGCAACCGCCCCGGAAACUCUCAGGCCACAGGGACCGCAGGCGCAAC